AACACUUCUCAGCCUUUUGGCUAAGAUAAGUGCUAUAUCUAUCUGACAUGUCCUUUAUGUGAGGAAAAUAUAUUAAAUGAUUUUUUUUUGGAAUAGGGAGAUGAAAUAGCUUGGUCUGUCCACUCUAUGCCUGAAUUUGGUAUUACAGGACCAUUAGGAAUGGUGCAUUCAUU
RNAcentral lists this small nuclear RNA (173 nucleotides) under Mus caroli (Ryukyu mouse). RNAcentral describes it as "predicted gene, 23628 (MGP_CAROLIEiJ_G0035615.1)". It matches the Rfam family "U2 spliceosomal RNA". Rfam says of the family: U2 is a small nuclear RNA (snRNA) component of the spliceosome (involved in pre-mRNA splicing). Complementary binding between U2 snRNA (in an area lying towards the 5' end but 3' to hairpin I) and the branchpoint sequence (BPS) of the intron results the bulging out of an unpaired adenosine, on the BPS, which initiates a nucleophilic attack at the intronic 5' splice site, thus starting the first of two transesterification reactions that mediate splicing. The record is from RNAcentral. Lineage: Eukaryota; Metazoa; Chordata; Mammalia; Rodentia; Muridae.